CCCUUUUCCCAGCAGCGCGUCCCGAAACUUUAACGUGCGCGCUUAAAGCUGUGCCCCGUUCCCUAUUCACCACAUUAGAGGUUGGUUUGAGUGAACUAUUUAGUGCACUAGUUAGGGAUCUGGGAGGGACUUCGGACACCGUCUGUCUUUAUUCGGCCUCAGAGACACCGGAAGCGCCGCAAGAGGGACCCUCAUAUGAACCUGGUCCUGGUCGGGGUUUCCUCCGGAUUUUCCUGUUGGGGAGAUUGAGUCAUAAUCUUCGGUCCACAAACGGCAACUUUACCAUCUGAACAACUCAAAUAAACAACAAUCUGCGAGUAACACCUGAACGUUGCUGACGGAACCCAAACGGUGUCCGUUUGUCAUCUGAUGCCACCUGCAGGUGAAUCUGUGUCACUGCAGGCGCGACUUUACGACCCACCGGUCUGUAAAUAUAUAAAAUCU
Molecule: long non-coding RNA, 444 nt
Filed under: Takifugu rubripes (torafugu)
Lineage: Eukaryota; Metazoa; Chordata; Actinopteri; Tetraodontiformes; Tetraodontidae
Description: lncRNA (ENSTRUG00000030300.1)
Source: RNAcentral